RNAcentral lists this ribosomal RNA (256 nucleotides) under uncultured soil bacterium. RNAcentral describes it as "partial 16S ribosomal RNA". It matches the Rfam family "Bacterial small subunit ribosomal RNA", at positions 26 to 285 of the family's 1533-position model. The record is from RNAcentral.
AGGACGAACGCUGGCGGCGUGCUUAACACAUGCAAGUCGAACGGUGAAGCCCUUCGGGUGGAUCAGUGGCGAACGGGUGAGUAACACGUGAGCAAUCUGCCCUUGACUCUGGGAUAACUUCGGGAAACCGGAGCUAAUACCGGAUAUGACACAUGGUCGCAUGGUCUGUGUGUGGAAAGAUUUAUCGGUCAGGGAUGAGCUCGCGGCCUAUCAGCUUGGUUGGUGGGGUAAUGGCCUACCAAGGCGACGACGGGUA